AAAAACAUGUCCCCUUGUUUUAUUUAUUUGGGGUCUGGCCUGCCCAGUGAUUUAUUAAAUGGCCGCGGUAUUUUAACUGUGCUAAGGUAGCAUAAUCACUUGUCUUUUAAUUAAAGGCUAGAAUGAAUGGUUGGACGAAGUGUAAUCUUUCUUUGAUUUAAAUUAUUGAAUUUAAUUUUUCAGUUAAAAAGCUGAAAUGUUUUUGAGGGACGAGAAGACCCUAUAGAUCUUUAUAUAAGAAUUUUAUUAAUUUGUUUGGUGAAUUAUAUUUUUAGUAAUUUUUUUGUAUUUGGUUGGGGUGACUGUAGAAUAUUAAUAACUUCUAUUUUUGUUUAUCAUAAAUUAAUGUAUUUUUGAUCCAUUAUUAUUGAUUAAAAGAUUAAGUUACCUUAGGGAUAACAGCGUAAUUUUUACGGAGAGUUCUUAUUGAUGUAAAAGUUUGCGACCUCGAUGUUGGAUUAAAAUAAGUAAUGGGUGCAGUAGUUCAUUUACUAGGUCUGUUCGACCUUUAAUUUUUUACAUGAUCUGAGUU
Molecule: ribosomal RNA, 532 nt
Filed under: Lophocephala sp. UCR ENT 00054155
Lineage: Eukaryota; Metazoa; Arthropoda; Insecta; Hemiptera; Reduviidae
Description: partial 16S ribosomal RNA
Rfam family: Bacterial large subunit ribosomal RNA
Source: RNAcentral